RNAcentral lists this ribosomal RNA (425 nucleotides) under uncultured bacterium. Its description in RNAcentral is "partial 16S ribosomal RNA". It matches the Rfam family "Bacterial small subunit ribosomal RNA", at positions 354 to 796 of the family's 1533-position model. The record is from RNAcentral.
GUGGGGAAUCUUGCGCAAUGGGCGAAAGCCUGACGCAGCCAUGCCGCGUGAAUGAUGAAGGUCUUAGGAUUGUAAAAUUCUUUCACCGGGGACGAUAAUGACGGUACCCGGAGAAGAAGCCCCGGCUAACUUCGUGCCAGCAGCCGCGGUAAUACGAAGGGGGCUAGCGUUGCUCGGAAUUCCUGGGCGUAAAGGGCGCGUAGGCGGACAGUUUAGUCAGAGGUGAAAGCCCAGGGCUCAACCUUGGAAUUGCCUUUGAUACUGGCUGUCUUGAGUACGGGAGAGGUGAGUGGAACUCCGAGUGUAGAGGUGAAAUUCGUAGAUAUUCGGAAGAACACCAGUGGCGAAGGCGACUCACUGGCCCGUUACUGACGCUGAGGCGCGAAAGCGUGGGGAGCAAACAGGAUUAGAAACCCGGGUAGUCC